AUACGUAGGUGGCGAGCGUUAUCCGGAUUUACUGGGUGUAAAGGGCGCGUAGGCGGGAAUGCAAGUCAGGUGUGUAAUCUACAGGCUCAACCUGUAAACUGCACUUGAAACUGCGUUUCUUGAGUGUCGGAGAGGUUGACGGAAUUCCUAGUGUAGCGGUGAAAUGCGUAGAUAUUAGGAGGAACACCAGUGGCGAAGGCGGUCUACGGGCUGAAAACGGACGCUGAGGCGCGAAAGCGUGGGGAGAAAACAGGAUUUGAUACCCGGGUAGCCCACGCCGUAAACGAUGAAUCCUAGGUGUGGGGGGACUGACCCCUUCCGUGCCGCAGUUAACACAAUAAGUAUUCCACCUGGGGAGUACGGCCGCAAGGUUGAAACUCAAAUGAAUUGACGGGG
RNAcentral lists this ribosomal RNA (396 nucleotides) under uncultured bacterium. RNAcentral describes it as "partial 16S ribosomal RNA". It matches the Rfam family "Bacterial small subunit ribosomal RNA", at positions 523 to 918 of the family's 1533-position model. The record is from RNAcentral.